CACCGCGGUUAUACGAGAGGCUCAAGUUGACAGACAACGGCGUAAAGAGUGGUUAGGGAAAUUUUUAAACUAAAGCCGAACGUCCUCAAAGCCGUUGAACGCUUCCGAGUUAAGAAGCCCCACUACGAAAGUAGCUUUACUUUACCUGACUCCACGAAAGCUGUGGAA
Molecule: ribosomal RNA, 168 nt
Filed under: Cheiloprion labiatus (big-lip damsel)
Lineage: Eukaryota; Metazoa; Chordata; Actinopteri; Pomacentridae
Description: partial 12S rRNA
Source: RNAcentral